Molecule: long non-coding RNA, 2244 nt
Organism: Magnolia sinica
Lineage: Eukaryota; Viridiplantae; Streptophyta; Magnoliopsida; Magnoliales; Magnoliaceae
Exons: 2
Source: RefSeq, a predicted model, not a curated record
UCACAAGAAAUCUGACAAGUGUCAGGUGUACAGAUCUUUUAGGAACCACGCGAGUUUCCUUCACUCCAAAGGCCAUAGGCUACGCGUCGUCCUUGUGAAAUCCCAUCCGUUCAUCAGUUUCGUCAACUCGUGUCACGAUAAGAGCCAAGCUGACAUUUGUGUUUAUCUAUUAAUCUCUAAUCACCCUAUGAACGGGUUGGAUGUCAUACAAACGUAAGGUGUGGCCCCCUCUUGGGUCUUGUAGUUGUAUCUGCUUCUUUUUUAGAUUAUCAUCGUUGACAUGACAUGAAGAAACUGAUGGAUGGAGUGGAUUUCACACUAAUAUCGAAGUGGGGCCCCACAGAACUUUGUGCUGCAGGAACUCUCUGCCACAGGUGCUGCGGGAAACUCGCAUCCUUUUGCAACACUCAGGAAAUUAGAUUAAAAAAAAGGUGGAAAACGUAAAUUUCAUCUCCUCUAACCCUUUUCUUCCUCAGAACUUUGGCGAGAAAAUCGCUUAGACUGGAACGGAUUCUACUCCGAUCCAAGUCUUUGAAUUUGGGUUUUUUUUUUUUUUUUUUUGGAUCAUUUCUAUUUCUAUUCGUUAAUCUCAUGUCUGGAAAGGAAAAAUCCAAAGAAGGUGGUGAAGAUGGAGUGCCCAUUGGAAGUGAGGAUGGGAAGAAGCAGAAAGGAUAUAAGAAGAAGAUUAAAAAGGCAGGUCUGCUGGUUCUGUUUCCUUUCAGGAAAUGCAAGAAGGUAUACAGAAGUAGAAGAUCACCAUCAUCUGCUGAUCCUGGUAAGGGUUGUUGUCUAUGUUUUAGGAAGCCCAUUCCAUCAGAUUCUCCAAUCGCAUCUCAGCCAACUGAUCCCAAUAGUCCUGAAUUUGGCUAUGAAUUCGUCAAAGUUUUCAUUGAGAAGAAUGAUUUUUAUUCCGGAGAAUGCAAUGUGCAUGUAUAGGUGUCUGAUUUUUGCCCCACGAUGGAACGCAAGCAUUGAAUUUUGGUUUGUUUUAUUUCUGAUGGUUGUGAGGAAUGUAGAUUCUUCAAGCUUUCUGAAUUGUUGGAUUUGAUGGCGUUGCUGAAUGGUAUUUGGCGAUCUUCGAAUUACAGAUUUAUGAAUCAGGAUAUUCUUUUGUAUUGAUAUUGAUUUUUAAGUUCUGCAAAAUGGGUAAUAUCAGUGAUGGAAAUUGGGUAUUGGGUGUUGUUCAGUAGAAAGAGUACCUGACAAUUUCAUGGGAAGGAAUUGAAUGUUUCAAAGUUGCCAGAUAUCAGAGUAAGAACAUAUGCUUGGAGUUUUUCUGUUAUCCUGCAAUAGCCAUGAGGAGUUGAGGUUUGAACAACUAUAGACUGUUCAAUUUGAUAAUUACAGAAUUCGGCGGUUUUCAAAUUCACAGAGCCAAUUGCUUUGUACUGGCUUUCUAGUUUGCAAAAGGGCCAGCAGGAGUUUUAUUUUAUUGUGGGACUCAUUAUCCAUGUGUGUAUUAUAUUGUUGGGCAUUUUCAUGGUUCGAUGACGGUGUUGUAAUGGCUCGAAAGAGGGCCUGAAGAUUGUCGACAUAUGGAUAUGAGAAAUGGCAGUGGAGGACAAAUUGUCAUCUUUUGAAUCUGUCUUGGACCAUAUUGAAGGGGAUCGAAAAGUUCUUAGUGGGACAAAAAGUCUCUGGGCUAAUGCCUGUAGAUUGAAGUUGGCUACCAAGAAGAGAAAGGUAAAGAUUGAUUCAUUCCAGCAUACAAAGAAAAUUCCAAGUCAUUUCCAGAAGAGAAGAAAAUGAGGAACAAUACUAUAGAAUUCAAAUAAAGAAGACAAUUAUUCACAAUCUGGAAUAGUCUAACUCUUCCAUUUCUUUGUGGACUUCCUGUGAUCCUUUCCUCGUUUAAUGGCCUGGAAGCAUCUAGGACUUGGUCAAUCUAGAAACUGUUUGUCAAUAAGAUGUUUUAGGUCUGGAAGCAUCUAGGAUCACAUGCUUCCAAAGCAGAAGCGGCACCUUGUUUUGGAGAUUCAUCCGACUAUAGCUUGCAGGACCAGAUAUUGGAUUUGAGAAAUGUCAGAGAAAAAAGAUUGAUAUGUUCAUAGGUGUUCAGUGAAGGUGCAUCUGAGAGCAAGAAAAAUGAUAAUGCAUCACAUGAUCAUUUGAUAUCUAGAACAAGCGACAAUGAAGUUCCCAGAAACAAUGUUCAUGAGGAUUGGUUCUCUAUCUUACAGAGCUAUUCUAUAUUGUAUGUUUUUACUUGUAACUUGCUUCAUCCAAGCGUUCAUAAUUAUGUUA